AGUUCUGAGCAAUUAUGCAUCAAUUAUACAAAAUGUUAAGCUGCCAUACUUUUCAACCAGAUCUAGAAGAAUAUGAAGAGGAGAUUGAUUGAAGCUGGCAUGCUACUUUUUGAUAAUCAAGCUCUCCUUGAUCUCAUUUAGAAGAGUUUGAACUUCCUGAGUUCUUUGGUCAGUUAUGAUACAAUAUUGCGGGAAACUUGGCAAUUUUUUCAAACAGCAAACUUCUAACUGGAAAUGUGGUUGGCUUUCUCGCAUACCAUGUAUAUGCUUGUCUUAGAUACUACGCGAGUAUGUACACUUGCCUGCCCCACUGAAUGUCAAAUUACUCGAUUCAUCCUGGUUGCAAUGGUGUGGUUCAGCCUAGGUCGCAUUAUUUCAGGAGCAAUACUUGUUCCAGGCUAAUAGGCGAAGAGCUAAUGGGAGAGACAGGGCAUGCUGAAAAUGGAGAAAUCAAGGAUGGAGAAAGUCAGAAGUAACUGAAAGGAGAAUGCAACUUCAGGACUCUAUGAAAUAGGUAGUACUAACAUGGCGCCCUUUUAAAAGCAUGUGAUUUUUCACUUUAGCAUUUGGCACGAAAAUUGAUAACUGAAAAGUUUGAACAUUUCAGAGAAUGUAUGAAAUUAUCUUUUCUGGAACAUUGAAGUUCACUUCAGAUUUCAAUUUAAGAGAGAGGGUUGUUUAUUGUCCCCGUACAUUGWCGUUUUACAACUAACAUAAAAACACCAAACAUGGAUUAGGAAACAUAUAUAGGUUUCAAAUUUCUACAAAUGGUAUAUAUAUGAUUUACUUCUGUAGAGCCUGUUGRCGAUUUACAAUUAUAUGUAGUUUCACUCUGAUGGGACGAAGAAGAUGCUCAAAGUUUCAGACGGAGGUUCUUCGCAUCUUUUAGCCUAAACCAGCUUCCACAUCACAAAAUUUUUGCAAGCCAAACAAGUCAGUACGGUGUUGGUGGGCAUAAUAAUCAUUUACUGAUUUGAUACUAAUUAUGAAUUACAAUACAACGUCUGCUUAACUUUUUAUUUGAAGAAGCGAUAAUGCAUUUUCUAUAUUUUUUGUUCUUUCCAUGAACUAAGUCACAUCUGAAUUGUUGUUGGGAUGAGGCUGCAGGUUGCUGGAUAAUUCCCUUCUGAUGGAAUCUUACGGACUUGAAACGGAGUAAAUUCUUUUACAAUACCCUUGGAGAAUUUUCACAUCAGAUUCUUGGAGCCGGAUGCUUGCUUCGUUGGGAGUUUUUUGUGCAAGUCUGUGUUUCAUAAGCCGACUGUCCUUGGAUUCUGCUUUGAAAGAGGAGAUAACCAAGGCUAUUCAUAACAGAAAACCUGAGCCUUUUGGGAGCUCUAGGAAGGAACAACCUUCACCAAAUUUCUUGCAUGGUGUUCCAAGAAAGCUUUGAUUUUCUGGUUUCAUGUAGUAACGUCUAUCCACUAGAAAUUUGAUUGCCAAAGAACAAUCUUAUCUUCAAAGCUGAAGUAUCAGAUUUUGGAAGACUCUUGAGACUUACCUAAACUUGUGGCCGUCUAGUUGGUGCACUCUCAAAAUUCUUCUGUAAAUAUGAUUAUUUUUUGUAUCAUAUUACUUGAUUCGAAUUAGGCAAUAAAGGGAGAAGAAAUUUAGUUGCGGAUUGCCAUUUCUUUUGUACUUUUCAUAUGAAAAGUUGUGUUCAUAUUAAAAUAAAAAGUGGUGACAGAAUUAUGUUACAAUAUGAUUCGAAUUAGGCAAUUGAGAAGAAAUUUAGAGCUUGUCAAGCAACAUUCCUGCUUU
Momordica charantia (bitter melon) is the source of this 1761-nucleotide non-coding RNA. Lineage: Eukaryota; Viridiplantae; Streptophyta; Magnoliopsida; Cucurbitales; Cucurbitaceae. The record is from RefSeq and is a predicted model, not a curated record.